UGUCGGGAGGGACGCCAAACGACAGGAGAUGACUGAACAACCCUUAUGUGGUCCACCGCUGGGGUAUAGUUGAGUAGGACAGGCUGUGGUGGCCGCCCUGAUUAACCAGAGAUGGGAGCAGGUGAAUCCGAAACCAAAGGAGUCCGAAAGAUCACGGGUAUAACUUAGCAGUAAGUGUAGACCCCCGUGUUGUGGGUAUAACUGAAGUCCCACUCUCCACCCA
This 223-nucleotide non-coding RNA is filed under the name unclassified sequences. Its description in RNAcentral is "manA RNA". It matches the Rfam family "manA RNA". From Rfam's summary of the family: manA RNA has been located in 5'UTR regions of genes of mannose or fructose metabolism. Has been proposed as a cis-regulatory element and as a riboswitch candidate for his complex secondary structure. The record is from RNAcentral.